AAAAAGACUGACCUUACAGUUUUACAUCUAUAACGUUCAGGGAGCUCUAUGUGGUGAAAGCCUAACUAACCGAUGGGCCUGAACUUGGAGAAAGGGCUUCUAGGAGUUUCACAGGGCCUUUCCCUGCAUGUCUGGGUUUGGACCCAUAACCCUAAGAAGCUGGCAGGGUGAAGUUCAAAGAAUCCCACUUCGUGGCAGCCAUACUGAUCAAGUCACUCUCGGGCUUAAAACCCUCCAGUGCUUCCUAUGGUCCUCUGGAAAAAAGACGAGACUCGAUGACACUUUGCAGCCUGACCUCUGUCCACUCACCUCUCCAACCUCUUGCAGUCCAUGCGGCGCCCUGCUCUCCACGCACCGGCCAUCCUCAGCUGCUUCAGAACAGAAGAGCUGAUAUUCUUCUCCUCUAAAUACGUCCUACUCUGUCUGUUGAUCCCCUUUGAACUCCUGGUGGAAGCUGUCCAUUUGAAGGGGUAGAUGCUCUGAUCCCUGUGGGCAAUACCCCCCCCAGGGGGGACCCUCUGCUGAUGUAUCACCUUCCAUCCUUGAACUCUGAUGAUAACUGAACACUCGGCCCUGCGGGGGAAGCCAGCUCUGCAGUGAAGGUUUCAGCAUCUGGUGAAAACCUGAGAACUAAUGGGUGAACACAGGACCUCUCAGGACCUCAGGACCAGACGAACACUUGAGAAGUCCCCGAGUCCAACUUUCAGAGGAGCAGCUUGUGGGAAUGAGGGAGGAAGACAAGAGCCCUUUAUGCAACCACCAAACUUCACUCAACAGCUCCGCGGCCCUGGAACGACCGACCUUGAAGAGGUCAUUCCGGAAGUUAAGGAUGUAAGGCCCUAAGGUCCCAAGAGCCCUUUGAUGAUGAGGGCCUCCAUGAGCAAAACAGGGGUCAAGAUAUCCCACAGCCUGCAGCUUUUUUCCCUGCCUGAGGCAGGAAGUUUUUCCUGGGCUGCUUCUCUCAGGCUCUCACCACCCCAGACAAGAAGUGAAUGGGGGGAAAGCCCUGGAACCAGACAGAAGUGAGAGAAGUUCCUUUGGCACGGUCUCGGUAACCUUGGAGAUUCGGGAUUGCUCCCAACAGGGCUCCGAGACAAUGCGGUGCAGAAAGGCGAGGCCUUGUUAUUGGAGCUCUCAGAACCCGCCAAGAAGGGGUCAGACACGAGCGGAUAAAGGGUGUGGGACGCACGCCCGGCUGCACCCCGAUCUUGGCUGCAGCGGCCGCGCAGGGCGGAGGAGACCGGCACCGCAGCUCCCCAGCGUGCGCCCGGCCCUCCCACCGCCGGUGGCCGCUGCCAGGAGGCCGCCCGCUGGCGGGAAGCGGCCAGGAAACCUCAGGGCCGCGCGGAGACAGUAGCCUCCUUGUUCCGCAGCCUGGUGGCUUCUCUACCCCUCCCCCCGCGCCGGGAGGGCCAGACAUCCCCGCCCCGCCCCCAGCCCCCACCUCUCCCGGCGGUUCUUUCCGCCCUGGCUCUGAAAGCGUUAACCCCCGAGCUUUGCCCGCUCCCGCCCAAGUUCCUAAAAAAGAAAGGUGCAAAGUUUGGUCCAGAUAGAGAAUGAAUGAUCAAAGCCAAGCCGAUACUUCCUGUCGCCCGGACGCUAUAUAUAACGUGAUGAGUGCACGGGCUGCGGAGACGCACCGGAGCGCUCGCCCAGCCGCCGCCGCCGCCGCCCAGCUCCU
This 1681-nucleotide long non-coding RNA is filed under the name Ailuropoda melanoleuca (giant panda). Its description in RNAcentral is "lncRNA (ENSAMEG00000024300.1)". Lineage: Eukaryota; Metazoa; Chordata; Mammalia; Carnivora; Ursidae. The record is from RNAcentral.